GGCGGUUAUGAAAGACAGGCGUGAAAUCCCCGGGCUUAACCUGGGAACGGCGCUUGUGACUCAUGACUCGAGUACGGCAGAGGGGGGUGGAAUUCACGUGUAGCAGUGAAAUGCGUAGAUAUGCGGAGGAACACCGAUGGCGAAGGCAGCCCCCUGGGCCGAUACUGACGCUCAUGCACGAAAGCGUGGGGAGCAAACAGGAUUAGAUACCCUGGUAGUCCACGCCCUAAACGAUGUCGACUAGUUGUUCGGGAAGGUAACUUUCUGAGUAACGCAGCUAACGCGUGAAGUCGACCGCCUGGGGAGUACGGCCGCAAGGUUAAAACUCAAAGGAAUUGACGGGGACCCGCACAAGCGGUGGAUGAUGUGGAUUAAUUCGAUGCAACGCGAAAAACCUUACCUACCCUUGACAUGCCUGGAAUCCUUGAGAGAUCGAGGAGUGCCUUCGGGAGCCAGGACACAGGUGCUGCACGGCUGUCGUCAGCUCGUGUCGUGAGAUGUUGGGUUAAGUCCCGCAACGAGCGCAACCCUUGUCGUUAAUUGCCAGCAUUGAGUUGGGCACUUUAACGAGACUGCCGGUGACAAACCGGAGGAAGGUGGGGAUGACGUCAAGUCCUCAUGGCCCUUAUGGGUAGGGCUUCACACGUCAUACAAUGGUCGGUACAGAGGGUUGCCAAGCCGCGAGGUGGAGCUAAUCCCAUAAAACCGAUCGUAGUCCGGAUCGCAGUCUGCAACUCGACUGCGUGAAGUCGGAAUCGCUAGUAAUCGUGAAUCAGAAUGUCACGGUGAAUACGUUCCCGGGCCUUGUACACACCGCCCGUCACACCAUGGGAGUGGGUUGCUCCAGAAGUAGCUAGUCUAACCUUCGGGGGGACGGUUACCACGGAGUGAUUCAUGACUGGGGUGAAGUCGUAACAAGGUA
This 922-nucleotide ribosomal RNA is filed under the name uncultured Azoarcus sp. RNAcentral describes it as "bacterial SSU rRNA". It matches the Rfam family "Bacterial small subunit ribosomal RNA", at positions 574 to 1498 of the family's 1533-position model. Lineage: Bacteria; Pseudomonadati; Pseudomonadota; Betaproteobacteria; Rhodocyclales; Zoogloeaceae. The record is from RNAcentral.